AGCAAGGCACUUAGCCCUAAUUGCUCCUGUAUGUCGCUCUGGAUAAGAGCAUCUGCUAAAUGUAAAUGUUGUCUCAGUGUAUUGUCUUCAGUCUUUUAAGUACUGUGUUUAUCCGAGUAAAGAGCUAGUUUCAUUAGAGAGGUGCUUAAUAGCUACUGAAGACUAUAGAUAAAGUGAAACAUAGAAGCUCACCUCACCAAUGUGAAGACGACCGCAUGAGAUGUUAUUGGAAUGAAGUGCUGUCAGUUUUGAAAUGUACCAAAAGGAUUGCUGUUUGGUGUUGGUCGUCAAGGCCUUUGCUUUGAGGAGGAGUUUGUCUAGCCAUUAAGAGUUAAGAAUGUUGGAGAAAAAUAUAAUUUUUUAUUUUGCACUGGAAUUUUCACACAAAGCCGUCAGAAAUAAUCGUGAAGGUAAAAGACACAGCAAGCACAGGCCUCUGGGUGACUCACAGAAUAUUCAAUUCAGGUGUUGGGGAACAUGCUGACUGCUAGAGAGAAUAUUCUAUUCAGGUGUUGGGGAACAUGCUGACUGCUAGAGAGGAUAGUCUAUUCAGGUGUUGGGGAACAUGCUGACUGCUAGAGAGGAUAGUCUAUUCAGGUGUUGGGGAACAUGCUGACUGCUAGAGAGAAUAGUCUAUUCAGGUGUUGGGGAACAUGCUGACUGCUAGAGAGAAUAGUCUAUUCAGGUGUUGGGGAACAUGCUGACUGCUAGAGAGGAUAGUCUAUUCAGGUGUUGGGGAACAUGCUGACUGCUAGAGAGGAUAGUCUAUUCAGGUGUUGGGGAACAUGCUGACUGCUAGAGAGGAUAGUCUAUUCAGGUGUUGGGGAACAUGCUGACUGCUAGAGAGGAUAGUCUAUUCAGGUGUUGGGGAACAUGCUGACUGCUAGAGAGAAUAGUCUAUUCAGGUGUUGGGGAACAUGCUGACUGCUAGAGAGGAUAGUCUAUUCAGGUGUUGGGGAACAUGCUGACUGCUAGAGAGAAUAGUCUAUUCAGGUGUUGGGGAACAUGCUGACUGCUAGAGAGAAUAGUCUAUUCAGGUGUUGGGGAACAUGCUGACUGCUAGAGAGAAUAGUCUAUUCAGGUGUUGGGGAACAUACUGCCUCCUAGAGAGAAUAGUCUAUUCAGGUGUUGGGGAACAUACUGCCUGCUAGAGAGAAUAGUCUAUUCAGGUGUUGGGGAACAUACUGCCUCCUAGAGAGAAUAGUCUAUUCAGGUGUUGGGGAACAUACUGCCUGCUAGAGAGAAUAGUCUAUUCAGGUGUUGGGGAACAUACUGCCUCCUAGAGAGAAUAGUCUAUUCAGGUGUUGGGGAACAUACUGCCUCCUAGAGAGAAUAGUCUAUUCAGGUGUUGGGGAAACAUACUGCCUCCUAGAGAGAAUAGUCUAUUCAGGUGUUGGGGAACAUACUGCCUCCUAGAGAGAAUAGUCUAUUCAGGUGUUGGGGAACAUACUGCCUCCUAGAGAGAAUAGUCUAUUCAGGUGUUGGGGAACAUACUGCCUCCUAGAGAGAAUAGUCUAUUCAGGUGUUGGGGAACAUACUGCCUCCUAGAGAGAAUAGUCUAUUCAGGUGUUGGGGAACAUACUGCCUCCUAGAGAGAAUAGUCUAUUCAGGUGUUGGGGAACAUACUGCCUCCUAGAGAGAAUAGUCUAUUCAGGUGUUGGGGAACAUACUGCCUCCUAGAGAGAAUAGUCUAUUCAGGUCAGUGGAGGCUGCUUAGGUGAGGACGGCUCAUAAUAAAGCUUUUUUAAUGGCUUCUGCUCUAAGACUACACAGUACAUUGCACACAGUGAGUUCAUAGAGUAGCCGCUGUAUGAGUAAUGGACCUGCCGGUUCUGUUAGAAGGUUGAAGGUCUUUGCAUGGUUUGUUAAAGAAGUCCAGUGUAUCUGAAUCUGACGGCAGAAAAUAAAUGUAACCUGAGAGAUUAGGUGAUGUACUGUAGAGAACAACCUGUCGAAAUCAAUAAAAAGUAAGAAAUGUUUUAA
Long non-coding RNA from Coregonus clupeaformis (lake whitefish), 1983 nucleotides. RefSeq lists it as uncharacterized. The record is from RefSeq and is a predicted model, not a curated record. The transcript is spliced from 2 exons. Lineage: Eukaryota; Metazoa; Chordata; Actinopteri; Salmoniformes; Salmonidae.